AGCGAACGCUGGCGGCAGGCUUAACACAUGCAAGUCGAGCGGGCACUCUCGGGUGUCAGCGGCGGACGGGUGAGUAACGCGUGGGAACGUGCCCUCUGGUUCGGAAUAACUCAGGGAAACUUGAGCUAAUACCGGAUACGCCCUUUUGGGGUAAGGCUUACUGCCGGAGGAUUGGCUCGCGUCUGACUAGCUAGCUGGAGAGGUAACGGAUCACCAAGGCGGCGAUCAGUAGCUGGACUGAGAGGACGGUCAGCAACACUGGGACUGAGACACGGAGCAGACUCCUAGGAGAGGGAGCAGGGGGGAAGAAUGGACACUGGGCGCAAGACUGAUCCAGCCGUGCCGCGUGAGUGAUGAAGGCCUGAGGGUUGUAAAGCUCUUUUAUCCGGGACGAUAAGGACGGAACCGGAGGAAUAAGCCCCGGCUAACUUCGU
Molecule: ribosomal RNA, 434 nt
Filed under: uncultured bacterium
Lineage: Bacteria
Description: partial 16S ribosomal RNA
Rfam family: Bacterial small subunit ribosomal RNA
Source: RNAcentral